GUGGGGAAUUUUGGACAAUGGGCGCAAGCCUGAUCCAGCAAUGCCGCGUGCAGGAAGAAGGCCUUCGGGUUGUAAACUGCUUUUGUACGGAACGAAACGGUCCGGGUUAAUACCCUGGGCUAAUGACGGUACCGUAAGAAUAAGCACCGGCUAACUACGUGCCAGCAGCCGCGGUAAUACGUAGGGUGCAAGCGUUAAUCGGAAUUACUGGGCGUAAAGCGUGCGCAGGCGGUUUUGUAAGACAGGCGUGAAAUCCCCGGGCGCAACCUGGGAAUUGCGCUUGUGACUGCAAGGCUGGAGUGCGGCAGAGGGGGAUGGAAUUCCGCGUGUAGCAGUGAAAUGCGUAGAUAUGCGGAGGAACACCGAUGGCGAAGGCAAUCCCCUGGGCCUGCACUGACGCUCAUGCACGAAAGCGUGGGGAGCAAACAGGAUUAGAUACCCCUGUAGUCC
RNAcentral lists this ribosomal RNA (450 nucleotides) under uncultured bacterium. RNAcentral's name for it is "bacterial SSU rRNA". It matches the Rfam family "Bacterial small subunit ribosomal RNA", at positions 354 to 796 of the family's 1533-position model. The record is from RNAcentral.